Xenopus tropicalis (tropical clawed frog) is the source of this 166-nucleotide long non-coding RNA. RefSeq lists it as uncharacterized. Lineage: Eukaryota; Metazoa; Chordata; Amphibia; Anura; Pipidae. The record is from RefSeq and is a predicted model, not a curated record. The transcript has 2 exons.
UUUCUGGUGUACCAUUCUGUGCCAGAGCCAAAGCAACUGUCAGAAGGAGGAUUGCAAGGGAGUGAAAGUUUUUCCGAGUUGCUGCUGAAAUUUAAAGACCUGAAGAUGCCAGUGAGGGCGUUACUGCGGCUGGCACCGAUACUUCUUGGCAACCCACAAUCAAUGG